UAGGGAAUCUUCGGCAAUGGGGGGAACCCUGACCGAGCAACGCCGCGUGAGUGAAGAAGGUUUUCGGAUCGUAAAGCUCUGUUGUUAAGGAAGAACGAGUGUGAGAAUGGAAAGUUCAUACUGUGACGGUACUUAACCAGAAAGGGACGGCUAACUACGUGCCAGCAGCCGCGGUAAUACGUAGGUCCCGAGCGUUGUCCGGAUUUAUUGGGCGUAAAGCGAGCGCAAGCGGUUAGAAAAGUCUGAAGUGAAAGGCAGUGGCUCAACCAUUGUAGGCUUUGGAAACUGUUUAACUUGAGUGCAGAAGGGGAGAGUGGAAUUCCAUGUGUAGCGGUGAAAUGCGUAGAUAUAUGGAGGAACACCGGUGGCGAAAGCGGCUCUCUGGUCUGUCACUGACGCUGAGGCUCGAAAGCGUGGGGAGCGAACAGGAUUAGAUACCCUGGUAGUCCACGCCGUAAACGAUGAGUGCUAGGUGUUGGGUCCUUUCCGGGGCUCAGUGCCGCAGCUAACGCAUUAAGCACUCCGCCUGGGGAGUACGACCGCAAGGUUG
This 550-nucleotide ribosomal RNA is filed under the name uncultured bacterium. RNAcentral describes it as "bacterial SSU rRNA". It matches the Rfam family "Bacterial small subunit ribosomal RNA", at positions 355 to 896 of the family's 1533-position model. The record is from RNAcentral.